This 255-nucleotide ribosomal RNA is filed under the name uncultured prokaryote. Its description in RNAcentral is "partial 16S ribosomal RNA". It matches the Rfam family "Bacterial small subunit ribosomal RNA", at positions 525 to 777 of the family's 1533-position model. The record is from RNAcentral.
ACGAAGGGUGCGAGCGUUGUUCGGAAUUAUUGGGCGUAAAGCGCACGUAGGCGGCUGGGUAAGUCUGUCUGUGAAAGCCCGGGGCUCAACCCCGUGGAUUGCAGGGGAUACUGCCUGGCUGGAGACAAGCAGAGGUUGGUAGAAUUCCGGGUGUAGCGGUGGAAUGCGUAGAGAUCCGGAGGAAUACCAGAGGCGAAGGCGGCCAACUGGGCUUGUUCUGACGCUGAGGUGCGAAAGCGUGGGGAGCGAACAGGA